CAACCCCAUGGACUGUAGCUCACCAGGCCCACGUCUCCUGCACUGCAGGCCGAUUCUUUGCUAUCUGAGCCACCAGGGAAGCCCCCAAUAUAGGAAAAAGUUAAAAAAAAAAAAAAAAGUGGAAGUCAACCAGAAGAUUAAUAUACUGCAUCCGGAUACAAUGUUCUCUGUCCUACCUCAGAGAGGGUGCAGCCUGGAAGGGUCUCAGUUCUCAGAAACAGAUCCAACCGGACCAAUUCGCCUCACAUGGUCACCCCAGCCAAUCAACUCUUGCUGAGAGUCUGGAUCCCAUGGGAUAAACGUGGCUGCUUUGAGCAACUACCAAAAACGAAGGCCAGUACAAGCUGGACUACACUAAUUCCACACUUCUUUCAUAUGCUUGAGGUUCCAGCUGUCCUGGAGUUAAAGAUUCAGCUGAAAUCUGUGACCGAGUAGAAAUCUUAAUUCAAUGUGGAAAAUAUGGCUGCCAGACUUAGCAAAUAAAAGUACAAGAUGCCCAAUCAAAUUUGAAUACUUAACAAAAACAAUUUAUCUCAUGUGAUAUUUGGGACCUACUUAUACUAAAAAAAAAAAAGCUUCAUUGUUUGAAGUUCAAGUGUAACUGAGCAUCCUAUAUUUAACUGCCAAAUGGAGUGGAAAGCUGGCCCUUUUGCGGGACUCUGAAUUCUUGACAUUUCCAAAAUAAUAAUCACAUCUCUGGGAAUUUAAGCACCCAGGACAGAUGUAAGGGUUUUGAAUAUGCCACAUCGAGGACACUGAGAGUGAAGCCAGCAUCCUGAGAGCAAGAGGUGGGCCUGCAUAAUUAUCAGUGAGUUAAAUUGCUUUGUUGCAGAGAGCUAGCUUAUUAAACAUGCAUUUCAAUUUUGGAGUGAUUGGCUGAAGAACUUGAUUAUCAACAGAUGGGAAAUCUCUCGCUGCAGCCGUGACCUUUACCUGUCAUGCUGGCACACAGGACCACAUCAAAAUGACACUGGGGCAACUUGAUGCCAGUCUCCAGAGCCUCUGAACAGGGCAUCCUGGGCUUCCCCAGGGCUAGGGUGGGAAGGUGGAGGGCCAC
This 1057-nucleotide long non-coding RNA is filed under the name Capra hircus (goat). RNAcentral's name for it is "lncRNA (ENSCHIG00000001447.1)". Lineage: Eukaryota; Metazoa; Chordata; Mammalia; Artiodactyla; Bovidae. The record is from RNAcentral.